RNAcentral lists this ribosomal RNA (250 nucleotides) under uncultured bacterium. RNAcentral describes it as "partial 16S ribosomal RNA". It matches the Rfam family "Bacterial small subunit ribosomal RNA", at positions 524 to 776 of the family's 1533-position model. The record is from RNAcentral.
UACGAAGGGGCUAGCGUUGUCCGGAAUCAUUGGGCGUAAAGCGCGCGUAGGCGGCCUCAUAAGUCCGUUGUGAAAGUCAAAGGCUCAACCUUUGAAAGCCGGUGGAUACUGUGGGCUAGAGUCCGGAAGAGGCGAGUGGAAUUCCUGGUGUAGCGGUGGAAUGCGCAGAUAUCAGGAGGAACACCAAUAGCGAAGGCAGCUCGCUGGGACGGUACUGACGCUAAGGCGAAAAGCGUGGGGAGCGAACAGG